RNAcentral lists this ribosomal RNA (132 nucleotides) under Acinetobacter sp. enrichment culture. RNAcentral's name for it is "partial 16S ribosomal RNA". It matches the Rfam family "Bacterial small subunit ribosomal RNA", at positions 337 to 468 of the family's 1533-position model. Lineage: Bacteria; Pseudomonadati; Pseudomonadota; Gammaproteobacteria; Moraxellales; Moraxellaceae. The record is from RNAcentral.
GCCUACGGGAGGCAGCAGUGGGGAAUAUUGGACAAUGGGCGCAAGCCUGAUCCAGCCAUGCCGCGUGUGUGAAGAAGGCCUUUUGGUUGUAAAGCACUUUAAGCGAGGAGGAGGCUACUUGGAUUAAUACUC